RNAcentral lists this long non-coding RNA (413 nucleotides) under Homo sapiens (human). RNAcentral's name for it is "non-protein coding lnc-KCNIP4-4:1". The record is from RNAcentral. Lineage: Eukaryota; Metazoa; Chordata; Mammalia; Primates; Hominidae.
AAGAAGAAUUAUCUGCAGAAAACAGAGAAACUGAAACUGAGAAGAGUCCAGCCUCUGAUGAAGCUGGAGAGAUAGAAGCCAAGUCAGACUAAUAUCAUAUACUAUGUCUUAUCUGUCGUCCCUGUCUCCCUUGGGUAAUAAGAGGAAUAUUUUUAUCAAUUAUUUUGUAAAUGCAAGUUUUUUAAUAGCUUUGGAAACAUUUUUAAGAAUGAGGGAAUCCCACCUCAUCCCAUUUUUUAAGUGGGAAUGCUUUUUAAAAAUAAAAAUAAAAAAGAGGUGAAAUCAUUCACUGGUUAUUAAUUUUUUCAUAGAACCAGAAACUAAUGAGGGAUAUUGAACUAUGGGAAGAUUUGACUGUCUUGGAUGUCAGCUUAUUAUUCCAUAGGUGGGGGGUUUGUUUUUAUAUCCUAUAA